RNAcentral lists this ribosomal RNA (253 nucleotides) under uncultured bacterium. RNAcentral describes it as "partial 16S ribosomal RNA". It matches the Rfam family "Bacterial small subunit ribosomal RNA", at positions 524 to 776 of the family's 1533-position model. The record is from RNAcentral.
UACGAAGGGGGCUAGCGUUGUUCGGAAUUACUGGGCGUAAAGCGCACGUAGGCGGAUAUUUAAGUCAGGGGUGAAAUCCCGGGGCUCAACCCCGGAACUGCCUUUGAUACUGGGUAUCUUGAGUUCGGAAGAGGUGAGUGGAAUUGCGAGUGUAGAGGUGAAAUUCGUAGAUAUUCGCAGGAACACCAGUGGCGAAGGCGGCUCACUGGUCCGAUACUGACGCUGAGGAGCGAAAGCAUGGGGAGCGAACAGG